UUUCGCUGGCGAGUGGCGGACGGGUGUAAUGUCUGGGAAACUGCCUGAUGGAGGGGGAUAACUACUGGAAACGGUAGCUAAUACCGCAUAACGUCACGAGUCCAAAGAGGGGGACCCUCGGGCCUCUUGCCAUCGGAUGUGCCCAGAUGGGAUUAGCUUGUUGGUGGGGUAACGGCUCACCAAGGCGACGAUCCCUAGCUGGUCUGAGAGGAUGACCAGCCACACUGGAACUGAGACACGGUCCGGACUCCUACGGGAGGCAGCAGUGGGGAAUAUUGCACAAUGGGCGCAAGCCUGAUGCAGCCAUGCCGCGUGUAUGAAGAAGGCCUUCGGGUUGUAAAGUACUUUCAGCGGGGAGGAAGGGAGUAAAGUUAAUACCUUUGCUCAUUGACGUUACCCGCAGAAGAAGCACCGGCUAACUCCGUGCCAGCAGCCGCGGUAAUACGGAGGGUGCAAGCGUUAAUCGGAAUUACUGGGCGUAAAGCGCACGCAGGCGGUUUGUUAAGUCAGAUGUGAAAUCCCCGGGCUCAACCUGGGAACUGCAUCUGAUACUGGCAAGCUUGAGUCUCGUAGAGGGGGGUAGAAUUCCAGGUGUAGCGGUGAAAUGCGUAGAGAUCUGGAGGAAUACCGGUGGCGAAGGCGGCCCCCUGGACGAAGACUGACGCUCAGGUGCGAAAGCGUGGGGAGCAAACAGGAUUAGAUACCCUGGUAGUCCACGCCGUAAACGAUGUCGACUUGGAGGUUGUGCCCUUGAGGCGUGGCUUCCGGAGCUAACGCGUUAAGUCGACCGCCUGGGGAGUACGGCCGCAAGGUUAAAACUCAAAUGAAUUGACGGGGGCCCGCACAAGCGGUGGAGCAUGUGGUUUAAUUCGAUGCAACGCGAAGAACCUUACCUGGUCUUGACAUCCACGGAAGUUUUCAGAGAUGAGAAUGUGCCUUCGGGAACCGUGAGACAGGUGCUGCAUGGCUGUCGUCAGCUCGUGUUGUGAAAUGUUGGGUUAAGUCCCGCAACGAGCGCAACCCUUAUCCUUUGUUGCCAGCGGUCCGGCCGGGAACUCAAAGGAGACUGCCAGUGAUAAACUGGAGGAAGGUGGGGAUGACGUCAAGUCAUCAUGGCCCUUACGACCAGGGCUACACACGUGCUACAAUGGCGCAUACAAAGAGAAGCGACCUCGCGAGAGCAAGCGGACCUCAUAAAGUGCGUCGUAGUCCGGAUUGGAGUCUGCAACUCGACUCCAUGAAGUCGGAAUCGCUAGUAAUCGUGGAUCAGAAUGCCACGGUGAAUACGUUCCCGGGCCUUGUACACACCGCCCGUCACACCAUGGGAGUGGGUUGCAAAAGAAGUAGGUAGCUUAACCUUCGGGAGGGCGCUUACCACUUUGUGAUUCAUGACUGGGGUGAAGUCGGAACAAGGUA
RNAcentral lists this ribosomal RNA (1416 nucleotides) under metagenome. RNAcentral's name for it is "bacterial SSU rRNA". It matches the Rfam family "Bacterial small subunit ribosomal RNA". The record is from RNAcentral.